GACGAACGCUGGCGGCGUGCUUAACACAUGCAAGUCGAACGGAAAGGCCCUGCUUUUGUGGGGUGCUCGAGUGGCGAAAGGGUGAGUAACACGUGAGUAACCUGCCCUUGACUUUGGGAUAACUUCAGGAAACUGGGGCUAAUACCGGAUAGGAGCUCCUGCUGCAUGGUGGGGGAUGGAAAGUUUCGGCGGUUGGGGACGGACGCGCGGCCUAUCAGCUUGUUGGUGGGGUAGUGGCUUACCAAGGCAUUGACGGGUAGCCGGCCUGGGAGGGUGACCGGCCACAUUGGGACUGGGAUGCGGCCCGGACUCCUACGGGGGGCAGCAGUGGGGAAUAUUGCACAAUGGGCGGAAGCCUGAUGCAGCAACGCCGCGUGCGAGAUGACGGCCUUCGGGUUGUAAACCGCUUUCGCCUGUGACGAAGCGUGAGUGACGGUAAUGGGUAAAGAAGCACCGGCUAACUACGUG
RNAcentral lists this ribosomal RNA (468 nucleotides) under uncultured bacterium. RNAcentral describes it as "partial 16S ribosomal RNA". It matches the Rfam family "Bacterial small subunit ribosomal RNA", at positions 28 to 507 of the family's 1533-position model. The record is from RNAcentral.